This 54-nucleotide ribosomal RNA is filed under the name Polypus dispansus. RNAcentral's name for it is "Albatrellus dispansus partial 28S ribosomal RNA". The record is from RNAcentral. Lineage: Eukaryota; Fungi; Basidiomycota; Agaricomycetes; Russulales.
AUAUCAAAUCAGGAAGAACUACCCGCGGAACUUAAGCAUAUCAAUAAGCGGAGG